This 498-nucleotide ribosomal RNA is filed under the name Microcystis sp. 0NI36S1. RNAcentral describes it as "bacterial SSU rRNA". It matches the Rfam family "Bacterial small subunit ribosomal RNA", at positions 199 to 715 of the family's 1533-position model. The record is from RNAcentral. Lineage: Bacteria; Bacillati; Cyanobacteriota; Cyanophyceae; Chroococcales; Microcystaceae.
GGUGAAACCUAAUUGGCCUGAAGAAGAGCUUGCGUCUGAUUAGCUAGUUGGUGGGGUAAGAGCCUACCAAGGCGACGAUCAGUAGCUGGUCUGAGAGGAUGAGCAGCCACACUGGGACUGAGACACGGCCCAGACUCCUACGGGAGGCAGCAGUGGGGAAUUUUCCGCAAUGGGCGAAAGCCUGACGGAGCAACGCCGCGUGAGGGAGGAAGGUCUUUGGAUUGUAAACCUCUUUUCUCAAGGAAGAAGUUCUGACGGUACUUGAGGAAUCAGCCUCGGCUAACUCCGUGCCAGCAGCCGCGGUAAUACGGGGGAGGCAAGCGUUAUCCGGAAUUAUUGGGCGUAAAGCGUCCGCAGGUGGUCAGCCAAGUCUGCCGUCAAAUCAGGUUGCUUAACGACCUAAAGGCGGUGGAAACUGGCAGACUAGAGAUCAGUAGGGGUAGCARGAAUUCCCAGUGUAGCGGUGAAAUGCGUAGAGAUUGGGAAGAACAUCGGUGG